UACGAAGGGGGCUAGCGUUGUUCGGAAUCACUGGGCGUAAAGGGUGCGCAGGCGGAUCAUUAAGUCAGGGGUGAAAUCCCGAGGCUCAACCUCGGAACGGCCUUUGAUACUGGUGAUCUUGAGUCCGGAAGAGGUGAGUGGAACUGCGAGUGUAGAGGUGAAAUUCGUAGAUAUUCGCAAGAACACCAGUGGCGAAGGCGGCUCACUGGGCGCUUAUUGACGCUGAGGCGCGAAAGCGUGGGGAGCAAACAGG
RNAcentral lists this ribosomal RNA (253 nucleotides) under uncultured bacterium. RNAcentral describes it as "partial 16S ribosomal RNA". It matches the Rfam family "Bacterial small subunit ribosomal RNA", at positions 524 to 776 of the family's 1533-position model. The record is from RNAcentral.